GUGGCCAAGUUUUUAAGGGCGCACGGUGGAUGCCUUGGCACCAGGAACCGAUGAAGGACGUGGGAGGCCGCGAUAGGCCCCGGGGAGCUGUCAACCGAGCUUUGAUCCGGGGGUGUCCGAAUGGGGAAACCCGGCAGUCGUCAUGGGCUGUCACCCGCAUCUGAACACAUAGGGUGCGUGGAGGGAACGCGGGGAAGUGAAACAUCUCAGUACCCGCAGGAAGAGAAAACAACCGUGAUUCCGGGAGUAGUGGCGAGCGAAACCGGAUGAGGCCAAACCGUUGUGGUGUGAGACCCGGCAGGGGUUGCCACGACGGGGUUGUGGGAAAGUUCUUCAGUCGUCUGCCGGCGGCUGGGCGAGUCAGAAACCGUAUGGGUAGUCGAAGGACAUGCGAAAGGUCCGGCGUAGAGGGUAAGACCCCCGUAGACGAAAUCUGUACGGCUCGCUUGAGCUUCUCCCAAGUAGCACGGGGCCCGAGAAAUCCCGUGUGAAUCUGGCGGGACCACCCGCUAAGCCUAAAUAUUCCCUGGUGACCGAUAGCGGAUAGUACCGUGAGGGAAUGGUGAAAAGUACCGCGGGAGCGGAGUGAAAUAGUACCUGAAACCGUGUGCCUACAAGCCGUGGGGGCAGCCUUCGGGCUGUGACUGCGUGCCUUUUGAAGAAUGAGCCUGCGAGUUUGCGGUGUGUAGCGAGGUUAACCCGUGUGGGGUAGCCGUAGCGAAAGCGAGUCCGAAUAGGGCGAUCGAGUUGCAUGCCCAAGACCCGAAGCGGAGUGAUCUAGCCAUGGGCAGGUUGAAGCGCGGGUAAGACCGUGUGGAGGACCGAACCCACCAGGGUUGAAAACCUGGGGGAUGACCUGUGGUUAGGGGUGAAAGGCCAAUCAAACUCCGUGAUAGCUGGUUCUCCCCGAAAUGCAUUUAGGUGCAGCGUCGCGUGUUUCUUGCCGGAGGUAGAGCACUGGAUAGGCGAUGGGCCUUACCGGGUUACUGACCUUAGCCAAACUCCGAAUGCCGGUAAGUGAGAGCGCGGCAGUGAGACUGUGGGGGAUAAGCUCCAUGGUCGAGAGGGAAACAGCCCAGAACACCGACUAAGGUCCCUAAGCGUGUGCUAAGUGGGAAAGGAUGUGGAGUCGCAGAGACAACCAGGAGGUUGGCUUAGAAGCAGCCACCCUUGAAAGAGUGCGUAAUAGCUCACUGGUCAAGUGAUUCCGCGCCGACAAUGUAGCGGGGCUCAAGCACACCACCGAAGUCGUGUCAUUGCAGCAAUACCCCCAACGGGGGCUGUGAUGGGUAGGGGAGCGUCGUGUGCCGGGUGAAGCAGCCGAGGAAUCGAGUUGUGGACGGUUCACGAGUGAGAAUGCAGGCAUGAGUAGCGAUACAAGAGUGGGAAACUCUUGCGCCGAUUGACCAAGGGUUUCCUGGGUCAAGCUGAUCUGCCCAGGGUAAGUCGGGACCUAAGGCGAGGCCGACAGGCGUAGUCGAUGGACAACGGGUUGAUAUUCCGUACCCGCUUUGAAGCGCCAACGUCGAACCUCUUGAUGCUAAGCCCGUGAAGCCGGCCCGGAGUCUUCGGACAAAGGACGUGGUGGAGCCGGUGACCCAACGGGUAGUAGGUGAGCGAUGGGUGACGCAGGAAGGUAAGUCCAGCCCGGGCGGUGGUAGUCCGGGGUAAGGGUGUAGGACGUUGCGUAGGCAAAUCCGCGCAACACGUGUCUGAGACCUGAUGCCCGAGCCGAUUGUGGUGAAGUGGAUGAUCCUAUGCUGUCG
This 1766-nucleotide ribosomal RNA is filed under the name Kitasatospora cineracea. RNAcentral describes it as "bacterial LSU rRNA". It matches the Rfam family "Bacterial large subunit ribosomal RNA", at positions 1 to 1610 of the family's 2925-position model. The record is from RNAcentral. Lineage: Bacteria; Bacillati; Actinomycetota; Actinomycetes; Kitasatosporales; Streptomycetaceae.